GACGAACGCUGGCGGCGUGCUUAACACAUGCAAGUCGAACGGAAAGGCCCUGCUUUUGUUGGGUUCUCGAGUGGCGAACGCGUGAGUAACACGUGUGUAUCCUCCCCUUUCUUUUCGUUUACCUUCAGUAACCUUGGCUUAUUCCCGUAUCGCAUCUCCUCCUCCUUGUUGGGGUUUGGAUCUUUUCGGCGUUUGGGUUUGUAUUCGCGGCUUACCCGCUUGUUGGUGGGGUAGUGGCUUACCAAGCCUUUGACGGGUACCAGGCCUGAGAGGUUGACCGGCCACAUUGGGACUGAGAUACGGCCCAGAGUCCUACGGGAGGCAGCAGUGGGGAAUAUUGCACAAUGGGCGGAAGCGUGAUGCAGAAACGCGGCGUGCGGGAUGACGGCCUUCGGGUUGUAAACAGCAUUAGCAUGUGACGAAGCGUGAGUGACGGUAAUGGGUAAAGAAGCACCGGCUAACUACGUG
Molecule: ribosomal RNA, 468 nt
Filed under: uncultured bacterium
Lineage: Bacteria
Description: partial 16S ribosomal RNA
Rfam family: Bacterial small subunit ribosomal RNA
Source: RNAcentral